RNAcentral lists this ribosomal RNA (441 nucleotides) under uncultured bacterium. Its description in RNAcentral is "partial 16S ribosomal RNA". It matches the Rfam family "Bacterial small subunit ribosomal RNA", at positions 339 to 795 of the family's 1533-position model. The record is from RNAcentral.
CUACGGGGGGCUCCAGUGGGGAAUAUUGGGCAAUGGGCGAAAGCCUGACCCAGCAACGCCGCGUGAUUGAAGAAGGUCUUCGGAUUGUAAAGAUCUGUCCUUGGGGACGAAAAAAAUGACGGUACCCAAGGAGGAAGCCCCGGCUAACUACGUGCCAGCAGCCGCGGUAAUACGUAGGGGGCGAGCGUUGUCCGGAAUUACUGGGCGUAAAGGGUGCGCAGGCGGCGCUUUAAGUCAGAUGUGAAAUAUUCGGGCUCAACCCGAAGGGUGCAUUUGAAACUGGAGUGCUUGAGUGCAGGGAGGAAAGUGGAAUUCCUAGUGUAGCGGUGAAAUGCGUAGAUAUUAGGAGGAACACCAGUGGCGAAGGCGACUUUCUGGACUGUAACUGACACUGAGGCACGAAAGCGUGGGGAGCAAACAGGAUUAGAUACCCCCGUAGUC